Lycium ferocissimum is the source of this 465-nucleotide long non-coding RNA. RefSeq lists it as uncharacterized. Lineage: Eukaryota; Viridiplantae; Streptophyta; Magnoliopsida; Solanales; Solanaceae. The record is from RefSeq and is a predicted model, not a curated record. The transcript has 2 exons.
UUUUACAUUCACAAUUAGUUCUUUAUCAAUUACAUUUAUACUAAACUUUAUUUUGUGUGUUGUGAGGACAUCUACCAUUCAUAUUAGUGGUGUGUUGAUAAACCCGACAUUUCAAAAAGCAAACGAGCUGCAAAAUUGGCAUGAUUGUUUGAAAGCGCAAUUGCUGAAGAGAUGCAUGAAGUUGGAACUAUUGCUGCAAUUGAAAUUGAGGAAGACGCAAUAGAGGUGCAGAAAAAACACACGAAGAAAACAAGGGAUUGUGGAGACAAAGAAGACCCUCAUUCAAUAAUUUAUAAGAAAAUCAAAAUAGAAAAGGAUUAGGGAUUUAUUGUUUUUUGUCAUUCCAGUAGACAUUCAUUAUCUUUUUUAUGAGUAGAUUUCCCGUAGUCUUUAUUUAAUUCUCUUAUGAUAUUGUAGUAUACUUUCGUUAGUCUAUAAUAUGUUACUCCCUCCCUCCCAUAAUAA